Molecule: small RNA, 672 nt
Filed under: Pan troglodytes (chimpanzee)
Lineage: Eukaryota; Metazoa; Chordata; Mammalia; Primates; Hominidae
Description: processed transcript
Source: RNAcentral
GUACUGGCAACGACCCUAAACAUGUUACCAGGUCUUAUCCAUUCCCCGUUAAUUUGCACCACCCCCAAACACUACAUUCGCUUUGGCUCACCCUUUAUCCCUGAGAGACGUCGAAGGCCCCUUCUGCCUGAUGGCACAUUCAGCUCCUGUAAGAAGCGCUGGAUAAAACAAGCCUUAGAAGAAGGGAUGACUCAAACAUCAUCUGUACCCCAAGAGACUAGAACUCAGCACCUAUACCAAAGCAAUGAGAAUAGUAGCUCUUCUAGUAUCUGCAAAGACAAUGCAGACUUGUUGAGCCCAUUAAAGAAAUGGAAGUCUCGCUAUCUGAUGGAGCAGAAUGUCACCAAGUUACUUCGGCCUCUGUCUCCAGUCACACCACCCCCUCCCAAUUCAGGCUCAAAGAGUCCCCAGCUGGCCACACCUGGCUCAUCUCACCCAGGAGAAGAGGAGUGUCGAAAUGGAUACAGCCUCAUGUUUUCACCAGUCACAUCUCUUACUACUGCUAGUCGCUGCAACACUCCUCUGCAGUUUGAGGUGAUUUGGGUUUGGUUGCUGGGAGUGCUGGAUAUGAAAAUCAUCAUUUGUACCUUCUCAUUUCAAAUAUAAUACCAUUCCAAAUGUUUCUUUACUGUCUUUCUUCCCCAUCUCAGUAAGAGAAUGGGAAACCUCAGG